This 45-nucleotide non-coding RNA is filed under the name Schistosoma margrebowiei. The record is from RNAcentral. Lineage: Eukaryota; Metazoa; Platyhelminthes; Trematoda; Strigeidida; Schistosomatidae.
UUCCAGCUGACGAGUCCCAAAUAGGACAGAACACACGUCCUGGAU